Erpetoichthys calabaricus (reedfish) is the source of this 914-nucleotide long non-coding RNA. RefSeq lists it as uncharacterized. NCBI's taxonomy places the organism in Eukaryota, Metazoa, Chordata, Cladistia, Polypteriformes, Polypteridae. The transcript has 2 exons. The record is from RefSeq and is a predicted model, not a curated record.
UCUUGAUUCUUAAAGGGCGGGACAAAUGGUAGCGAGCGUCAUUGUCGAGAAGGGAGAGGAUGAUACAGCAUCUAACGAGGGAAAAAAUGGAGAGGAAUGCAAUAAUAAUGUUCAUGUUUUGCUCUUGGGAUAAAUACAGCUUUUGUGUGUACUCGAACCGAGGGUGGUAUUUACUUUCUCAAAUGCCAUACAAGCGUUUCUGUGGACCUUCUUAAGGAAUGGCUUCUUGCUUGCUACCUUCCCUUAGAGGCCUGUUUUAUGGAGAUCUCUUGAAAUUGUGGACCCAUACACCUCCACUCCAGUUUCAGCCAAACAGCAUUGUAGACUGCUGAGAGCAAUGGUUGGAUGCUCUGAUGUUUAGUUUUGGGGAACAGCCUGUUCUAGCAACAGUCUGGGUGCUGUGACGAACCUUCCACUUUCUGAUGAAGAAUCCAACAGUGCUCAAUGGGACAUUCAAACUCUUCAAUAUUUUUAUGUAGCCAUUUCCUACUUUGUUUCUCAAAUCAGCAGAAUGCACCUUUGUCUUCACCUUUGCAGUGAUUGUCCAACGAAAAACUAUGGCCUUUAUGAAGGAUGCUUUUUUUAUAUCCAGAUAGAUAUAAAGGACUCACAAGUAGUACCUGCUUAUGUUUAAUUAUAGUCAAAUGACUGUUGUUUGUAGGUAUAAAUUAAAUACUUGAACAGUUGCACUUCUGUAUAGUACAGCUAAUGUGUGUUUUUUGUUUGUUUGAAAAAUGACAACAAAAAGCUGUAUCUCUGUGUUCUUUGUAAUACUUGUACCCUGCUGCAUACAUUCACAAAGUAAACUAUAAGUGAUAUCUAUCUAUUAUGAUUUUUUUCUACAUACCUAAACAAUAGAUAUUUAAGUGGCAUUAAGUUGCUCUUAGUUCUUUAAUAAAGAUUCUCAAGUACAA